GCUUGGCAACAAAAGCAGCAUCUGACAGAACUGUGCUCUGGUGGAGAGCAGCAUAGACAAGAAAAGAAGGAAGGCAGAGGGAUGAUGGCUGGACCCCGUCUACUGAUGGGGGUAUGGAAAGUGGAGCCAGGGGUAGGAAAAGGCCAGAUGAAAAAAGUCACCUUGAAUGUCAGACCACAAAGUUUUGCUAUGACGUUGUUGUAGCAAUAAGAAGUCACGUCCGGUAAUUUGUCCUGCUCUGGACUUUUUCCAAAGCGGCCAGGGAAUGAACGAGGCCAAGGAACCUAGCGCGUGAGGAGGACACACCAGGCUCCAAAUGAGGUUCCCGGCUUACUAGCUGUGUGGCUUCGGCGGAGCCAUUCGAUCGGCGCCAGAUCCCACGUCCCGGGCCUGCAUGAAGGGAUGAAUGAACGGAGGGCCGGGAGGAGGGCAAUCAGGCGCCCCCCCCCGGCCGCCGCUCCACGAGGUCAGCGACGGCCCACACCUGCCCUCGCGGCCGCCGCUCCACGAGGAGGAGAGCCGCCGGGAAGCGAGCCCCGCGGACAAGCCCGGGCUCCGAGUCGCCUCCGCCAGCCCCGCCCCGAGGCGACCCCCUCACCUGGUCUCCAAGAAGACGUUGGGCGGCUGCCAGGAGUCGGGCGGGAUGGCCGCCAUAGCGGAGCCGGCGGAAUCUUUCCCCGGCAAUGGCCACUUCCGGCGUCGAUUCGCGGGGGACCCGCCGGUGCAGGGCACACUUCCGGUACCCGCGGUUCAACCCUGUGAUGCCAAGAUUUGAAGAGUUGAGAAAAGGGAGAAGAAG
Molecule: long non-coding RNA, 799 nt
Organism: Pipistrellus kuhlii (Kuhl's pipistrelle)
Lineage: Eukaryota; Metazoa; Chordata; Mammalia; Chiroptera; Vespertilionidae
Exons: 2
Source: RefSeq, a predicted model, not a curated record